AGGAGGGCGCUGGCCGGCCGCUCCCGCGGCUGCUCCGCCUGGCUAGCAUGGCUUUCUCCGCGCCCGGCGCUGCCUCCGCAGAGCUCCGCACCCAGGACGCCUGGACCCAGCAGAUCUUUCCUGUCAUCCACUGGAUCCAAGCAGUCAUGGCUACUUUGAGUGUAAUAGGGUCCAGUUCGCUGAUUGGUUAUGCAGUGCUCCAGAAUACAGCCAGAUCCCCCCAGGUAAGG
This is a long non-coding RNA of Podarcis raffonei (Aeolian wall lizard), 230 nucleotides long. RefSeq lists it as uncharacterized. The transcript has 3 exons. The record is from RefSeq and is a predicted model, not a curated record. NCBI's taxonomy places the organism in Eukaryota, Metazoa, Chordata, Lepidosauria, Squamata, Lacertidae.